GAUGAACGCUGGCGGCGUGCCUAAUACAUGCGAGUCGAGCGAACGGACGAGAAGCUUGCUUCUCUGAUGUUAGCGGCGGACGGGUGAGUAACACGUGGAUAACCUACCUAUAAGACUGGGAUAACUUCGGGAAACCGGAGCUAAUACCGGAUAAUAUUUUGAACCGCAUGGUUCAAAAGUGAAAGACGUUCUUGCUGUCACUUAUAGAUGGAUCCGCGCUGCAUUAGCUAGUUGGUAAGGUAACGGCUUACCAAGGCAACGAUGCAUAGCCGACCUGAGAGGGUGAGCGGCCACACUGGAACUGAGACACGGUCCAGACUCCUGAGGGAGGCAGCAGUAGGGAAUCUUCCGCAAUGGGCGAAAGCCUGACGGAGCAACGCCGAGUGAGUGAUGAAGGUCUUCGGAUCGUAAAACUCUGUUAUUAGGGAAGAACAUAUGUGUAAGUAACUGUGCACAUCUUGACGGUACCUAAUCAGAAAGCCACGGCUAACUACGUG
Molecule: ribosomal RNA, 497 nt
Filed under: uncultured bacterium
Lineage: Bacteria
Description: partial 16S ribosomal RNA
Rfam family: Bacterial small subunit ribosomal RNA
Source: RNAcentral